CGCGUAGGCGGUUCGAUAAGUCGGAGGUGAAAUCCCUCGGCUCAACCGAGGACCCGCGUCCGAUACUGUCGAACUUGAGUGCAGGAGAGGAGAGCGGAAUUCCCAGUGUAGCGGUGAAAUGCGUAGAUAUUGGGAGGAACACCGGUGGCGAAGGCGGCUCUCUGGCCUGCUACUGACGCUGAGGCGCGAAAGCUAGGGGAGCAAACGGGAUUAGAUACCCCGGUAGUCCUAGCUGUAAACGAUGGGCACUAGGUGUGGGAGGUAUCGACCCCUUCCGUGCCGCAGCUAACGCAUUAAGUGCCCCGCCUGGGGAGUACGGCCGCAAGGUUGAA
This 332-nucleotide ribosomal RNA is filed under the name uncultured bacterium. RNAcentral's name for it is "bacterial SSU rRNA". It matches the Rfam family "Bacterial small subunit ribosomal RNA", at positions 568 to 898 of the family's 1533-position model. The record is from RNAcentral.